UACGAAGGUUGCAAGCGUUACUCGGAAUUACUGGGCGUAAAGGGCAGGUAGGCGGUUUGGUAAGUCUAUUGUGAAAGCUCCUGGCUUAACUGGGAGAGGCCAAUGGAUACUGCCAAGCUUGAGUAUAGGAGAGGUUACUGGAAUUCCCGGAGUAGCGGUGAAAUGCGCAGAUAUCGGGAGGAACACCAAUGGCGAAAGCAGGUAACUGGACUAUUACUGACACUAAGCUGCGAAAGCUAGGGGAGCAAACAGG
RNAcentral lists this ribosomal RNA (253 nucleotides) under uncultured bacterium. RNAcentral's name for it is "partial 16S ribosomal RNA". It matches the Rfam family "Bacterial small subunit ribosomal RNA", at positions 524 to 776 of the family's 1533-position model. The record is from RNAcentral.